This 1237-nucleotide ribosomal RNA is filed under the name Bacteroides sp. RNAcentral describes it as "bacterial SSU rRNA". It matches the Rfam family "Bacterial small subunit ribosomal RNA", at positions 277 to 1526 of the family's 1533-position model. The record is from RNAcentral. Lineage: Bacteria; Pseudomonadati; Bacteroidota; Bacteroidia; Bacteroidales; Bacteroidaceae.
CGAUGGAUAGGGGUUCUGAGAGGAAGGUCCCCCACAUUGGAACUGAGACACGGUCCAAACUCCUACGGGAGGCAGCAGUGAGGAAUAUUGGUCAAUGGACGAGAGUCUGAACCAGCCAAGUAGCGUGAAGGAUGACUGCCCUAUGGGUUGUAAACUUCUUUUAUACGGGAAUAAAGUUAGGCACGUGUGCCUUUUUGUAUGUACCGUAUGAAUAAGGAUCGGCUAACUCCGUGCCAGCAGCCGCGGUAAUACGGAGGAUCCGAGCGUUAUCCGGAUUUAUUGGGUUUAAAGGGAGCGUAGGCGGAUGCUUAAGUCAGUUGUGAAAGUUUGCGGCUCAACCGUAAAAUUGCAGUUGAUACUGGGUGUCUUGAGUACAGUAGAGGCAGGCGGAAUUCGUGGUGUAGCGGUGAAAUGCUUAGAUAUCACGAAGAACUCCGAUUGCGAAGGCAGCUUGCUGGACUGUAACUGACGCUGAUGCUCGAAAGUGUGGGUAUCAAACAGGAUUAGAUACCCUGGUAGUCCACACAGUAAACGAUGAAUACUCGCUGUUUGCGAUAUACAGUAAGCGGCCAAGCGAAAGCGUUAAGUAUUCCACCUGGGGAGUACGCCGGCAACGGUGAAACUCAAAGGAAUUGACGGGGGCCCGCACAAGCGGAGGAACAUGUGGUUUAAUUCGAUGAUACGCGAGGAACCUUACCCGGGCUUAAAUUGCAAAUGAAUGUUCUGGAAACAGAUCAGCCGCAAGGCAUUUGUGAAGGUGCUGCAUGGUUGUCGUCAGCUCGUGCCGUGAGGUGUCGGCUUAAGUGCCAUAACGAGCGCAACCCUUAUCGAUAGUUACCAUCAGGUUAUGCUGGGGACUCUGUCGAGACUGCCGUCGUAAGAUGUGAGGAAGGUGGGGAUGACGUCAAAUCAGCACGGCCCUUACGUCCGGGGCUACACACGUGUUACAAUGGGGGGUACAGAAGGCAGCUACACGGCGACGUGAUGCUAAUCCCUAAAACCUCUCUCAGUUCGGAUUGGAGUCUGCAACCCGACUCCAUGAAGCUGGAUUCGCUAGUAAUCGCGCAUCAGCCACGGCGCGGUGAAUACGUUCCCGGGCCUUGUACACACCGCCCGUCAAGCCAUGAAAGCCGGGGGUACCUGAAGUGCGUAACCGCGAGGAGCGCCCUAGGGUAAAACUGGUGAUUGGGGCUAAGUCGUAACAAGGUAGCCGUACCGGAAGGUGCGGCUGGACCCC